UACGUAGGUGGCAAGCGUUGUCCGGAUUUACUGGGCGUAAAGAGCGCGCAGGCGGUCGCUCAAGUCGCGUGUGAAAGCCCCCGGCUCAACUGGGGAGGGUCACGCGAUACUGAUCGACUGGAAGGCAGGAGAGGGUAGUGGAAUUCCCGGUGUAGUGGUGAAAUGCGUAGAUAUCGGGAGGAACACCAGUGGCGAAGGCGGCUUUUUGGUCUGUAACUGACGCUGAGGCGCGAAAGCGUGGGGAGCAAACAGG
RNAcentral lists this ribosomal RNA (253 nucleotides) under uncultured bacterium. Its description in RNAcentral is "partial 16S ribosomal RNA". It matches the Rfam family "Bacterial small subunit ribosomal RNA", at positions 524 to 776 of the family's 1533-position model. The record is from RNAcentral.